GCUUUGCGGCACGAGUUGUAGAUUGCAGGUUGGAGUCUGUGUGGAAGGCGGUGUCCAAGUCCCUUGGAACAGGGCGCCCAGGAGGGUGAGAGCCCCGUGGGAUGCCGGCGGAAGCAGUGAGGCCCUUCUGACGAGUCGAGUUGUUUGGGAAUGCAGCUCCAAGCGGGUGGUAAAUUCCAUCUAAGGCUAAAUACUGGCGAGAGACCGAUAGCGAACAAGUACUGUGAAGGAAAGAUGAAAAGCACUUUGAAAAGAGAGUGAAACAGCACGUGAAAUUGUUGAAAGGGAAGGGUAUUGCGCCCGACAUGGGGAUUGCGCACCGCUGCCUCUCGUGGGCGGCGCUCUGGGCUUUCCCUGGGCCAGCAUCGGUUCUUGCUGCAGGAGAAGGGGUUCUGGAACGUGGCUCUUCGGAGUGUUAUAGCCAGGGCCAGAUGCUGCGUGCGGGGACCGAGGACUGCGGCCGUGUAGGUCACGGAUGCUGGCA
Molecule: ribosomal RNA, 484 nt
Filed under: Pichia kudriavzevii
Lineage: Eukaryota; Fungi; Ascomycota; Pichiomycetes; Pichiales; Pichiaceae
Description: partial large subunit ribosomal RNA
Rfam family: Eukaryotic large subunit ribosomal RNA
Source: RNAcentral